GGUUAAGCGACUAAGCGUACACGGUGGAUGCCCUGGCAGUCAGAGGCGAUGAAGGACGUGCUAAUCUGCGAUAAGCGUCGGUAAGGUGAUAUGAACCGUUAUAACCGGCGAUUUCCGAAUGGGGAAACCCAGUGUGUUUCGACACACUAUCAUUAACUGAAUCCAUAGGUUAAUGAGGCGAACCGGGGGAACUGAAACAUCUAAGUACCCCGAGGAAAAGAAAUCAACCGAGAUUCCCCCAGUAGCGGCGAGCGAACGGGGAGGAGCCCAGAGCCUGAAUCAGUGUGUGUGUUAGUGGAAGCGUCUGGAAAGGCGCGCGAUACAGGGUGACAGCCCCGUACACAAAAAUGCACAUACUGUGAGCUCGAUGAGUAGGGCGGGACACGUGGUAUCCUGUCUGAAUAUGGGGGGACCAUCCUCCAAGGCUAAAUACUCCUGACUGACCGAUAGUGAACCAGUACCGUGAGGGAAAGGCGAAAAGAACCCCGGCGAGGGGAGUGAAAAAGAACCUGAAACCGUGUACGUACAAGCAGUGGGAGCCUCUUUAUGGGGUGACUGCGUACCUUUUGUAUAAUGGGUCAGCGACUUAUAUUCUGUAGCAAGGUUAACCGAAUAGGGGAGCCGAAGGGAAACCGAGUCUUAACUGGGCGUUAAGUUGCAGGGUAUAGACCCGAAACCCGGUGAUCUAGCCAUGGGC
This 697-nucleotide ribosomal RNA is filed under the name Escherichia coli. Its description in RNAcentral is "partial 23S ribosomal RNA". It matches the Rfam family "Bacterial large subunit ribosomal RNA", at positions 1 to 741 of the family's 2925-position model. Lineage: Bacteria; Pseudomonadati; Pseudomonadota; Gammaproteobacteria; Enterobacterales; Enterobacteriaceae. The record is from RNAcentral.